GAGUUUGAUCCUGGCUCAGGACGAACGCUGGCGGCGUGCCUAAUACAUGCAAGUAGAACGCUGAAGGAGGAGCUUGCUUCUUUGGAUGAGUUGCGAACGGGUGAGUAACGCGUAGGUAACCUGCCUGGUAGCGGGGGAUAACUAUUGGAAACGAUAGCUAAUACCGCAUAAGAGUAGAUGUUGCAUGACAUUUGCUUAAAAGGUGCACUUGCAUCACUACCAGAUGGACCUGCGUUGUAUUAGCUAGUUGGUGGGGUAACGGCUCACCAAGGCGACGAUACAUAGCCGACCUGAGAGGGUGAUCGGCCACACUGGGACUGAGACACGGCCCAGACUCCUACGGGAGGCAGCAGUAGGGAAUCUUCGGCAAUGGACGGAAGUCUGACCGAGCAACGCCGCGUGAGUGAAGAAGGUUUUCGGAUCGUAAAGCUCUGUUGUAAGAGAAGAACGAGUGUGAGAGUGGAAAGUUCACACUGUGACGGUAUCUUACCAGAAAGGGACGGCUAACUACGUGCCAGCAGCCGCGGUAAUACGUAGGUCCCGAGCGUUGUCCGGAUUUAUUGGGCGUAAAGCGAGCGCAGGCGGUUAGAUAAGUCUGAAGUUAAAGGCUGUGGCUUAACCAUAGUAGGCUUUGGAAACUGUUUAACUUGAGUGCAAGAGGGGAGAGUGGAAUUCCAUGUGUAGCGGUGAAAUGCGUAGAUAUAUGGAGGAACACCGGUGGCGAAAGCGGCUCUCUGGCUUGUAACUGACGCUGAGGCUCGAAAGCGUGGGGAGCAAACAGGAUUAGAUACCCUGGUAGUCCACGCUGUAAACGAUGAGUGCUAGGUGUUAGACCCUUUCCGGGGUUUAGUGCCGUAGCUAACGCAUUAAGCACUCCGCCUGGGGAGUACGACCGCAAGGUUGAAACUCAAAGGAAUUGACGGGGGCCCGCACAAGCGGUGGAGCAUGUGGUUUAAUUCGAAGCAACGCGAAGAACCUUACCAGGUCUUGACAUCCCUCUGACCGCUCUAGAGAUAGAGUUUUCCUUCGGGACAGAGGUGACAGGUGGUGCAUGGUUGUCGUCAGCUCGUGUCGUGAGAUGUUGGGUUAAGUCCCGCAACGAGCGCAACCCUAUUGUUAGUUGCCAUCAUUUAGUUGGGCACUCUAGCGAGACUGCCGGUAAUAAACCGGAGGAAGGUGGGGAUGACGUCAAAUCAUCAUGCCCCUUAUGACCUGGGCUACACACGUGCUACAAUGGCUGGUACAACGAGUCGCAAGCCGUGACAGCAAGCUAAUCUCUUAAAGCCAGUCUCAGUUCGGAUUGUAGGCUGCAACUCGCCUACAUGAAGUCGGAAUCGCUAGUAAUCGCGGAUCAGCACGCCGCGGUGAAUACGUUCCCGGGCCUUGUACACACCGCCCGUCACACCACGAGAGUUUGUAACACCCGAAGUCGGUGAGGUAACCGUAAGGAGCCAGCCGCCUAAGGUGGGAUAGAUGAUUGGGGUGAAGUCGUAACAAGGUAGCCGUAUCGGAAGGUGCGGCUGGAUCACC
Molecule: ribosomal RNA, 1530 nt
Filed under: Streptococcus pneumoniae GA14373
Lineage: Bacteria; Bacillati; Bacillota; Bacilli; Lactobacillales; Streptococcaceae
Description: bacterial SSU rRNA
Rfam family: Bacterial small subunit ribosomal RNA
Source: RNAcentral